AGAGUUUGAUCAUGGCUCAGAUUGAACGCUGGCGGCGUGCCUAACACAUGCAAGUCGAACGGGAAUCUUCGGAUUCUAGUGGCGGACGGGUGAGUAACGCGUAAGAAUCUAACUUCAGGACGGGGACAACAGUUGGAAACGACUGCUAAUACCCGAUAUGCCGCGAGGUGAAACCUAAUUGGCCUGAAGAAGAGCUUGCGUCUGAUUAGCUAGUUGGUGGGGUAAGAGCCUACCAAGGCGACGAUCAGUAGCUGGUCUGAGAGGAUGAGCAGCCACACUGGGACUGAGACACGGCCCAGACUCCUACGGGAGGCAGCAGUGGGGAAUUUUCCGCAAUGGGCGAAAGCCUGACGGAGCAAUGCCGCGUGAGGGAGGAAGGUCUUUGGAUUGUAAACCUCUUUUCUCAAGGAAGAAGUUCUGACGGUACUUGAGGAAUCAGCCUCGGCUAACUCCGUGCCAGCAGCCGCGGUAAUACGGGGGAGGCAAGCGUUAUCCGGAAUUAUUGGGCGUAAAGCGUCCGCAGGUGGUCAGCCAAGUCUGCCGUCAAAUCAUGUUGCUUAACGACCUAAAGGCGGUGGAAACUGGCAGACUAGAGAGCAGUAGGGGUAGCAGGAAUUCCCAGUGUAGCGGUGAAAUGCGUAGAGAUUGGGAAGAACAUCGGUGGCGAAAGCGUGCUACUGGGCUGUAUCUGACACUCAGGGACGAAAGCUAGGGGAGCGAAAGGGAUUAGAUACCCCUGUAGUCCUAGCCGUAAACGAUGGAUACUAGGCGUGGCUUGUAUCGACCCGAGCCGUGCCGAAGCUAACGCGUUAAGUAUCCCGCCUGGGGAGUACGCACGCAAGUGUGAAACUCAAGGAAUUGACGGGGGCCCGCACAGCGGUGGAGUAUGUGGGUUUAAUUCGAUGCAACGCGAGACCUUACCAGACUUGACAUGUCGCGAACCCUGGUGAAAGCUGGGGGUGCCUUCGGAGCCGCGAACAACAGGUGGUGCAUGCUGUCGUCAGCUCGUGUCGUGAGAUGUUUGGGUUAAGUCCCGCCACGAGCGCCAA
This 1049-nucleotide ribosomal RNA is filed under the name uncultured bacterium. Its description in RNAcentral is "bacterial SSU rRNA". It matches the Rfam family "Bacterial small subunit ribosomal RNA", at positions 8 to 1102 of the family's 1533-position model. The record is from RNAcentral.